AGUUGAUUAUGGCUCAGAACGAACGCUGGCGGCAUGGAUUAGGCAUGCAAGUCGAACGGUGCAGCAAUGCAUAGUGGCGCAAGGGUGAGGAACGCGUGAGUAAUCUGCCCUCAAGUUGGGAACAGCUUCUGGAAACGGAAAUUAAUACCGAAUGUGACCUUUAGGAGGCAUCUUUUAGAGGUUAAAGGCCGCAAGGUCGCUUGAGGAGGGGCUCGCGUCCCAUUAUGCUAGUUGGUGAGGUAACGGCCCACCAAGGCGAAGAUGGGUAGCUGGUCUGAGAGGACGAUCAGCCACACUGGGACUGAGAACUGCCCAGACUCCUACGGGAGGCUGCAGUCGAGAAUUUUGGGCAAUGGACGAAAGUCUGAACCCCCAGCAAUGCCGCGUGCGGGAUGAAGGUCUUCGGAUUGUAAACCGCUGUCAAGUGGGACGAAACAAAUGACGGUACCGCUGAAGGAAGUCACGGCUAACUACGUGCCAGCCGCGGC
This 488-nucleotide ribosomal RNA is filed under the name uncultured bacterium. RNAcentral describes it as "bacterial SSU rRNA". It matches the Rfam family "Bacterial small subunit ribosomal RNA", at positions 10 to 518 of the family's 1533-position model. The record is from RNAcentral.